AUUGGACGCUGGCGGCAUGCUUUACACAUGCAAGUCGAACGGCAGCGCGGGCUUCGGCCUGGCGGCGAGUGGCGAACGGGUGAGUAAUGCAUCGGAACGUGCCCAGUAGUGGGGGAUAGCCCGGCGAAAGCCGGAUUAAUACCGCAUACGACCUGAGGGUGAAAGCGGGGGACCGAAAGGCCUCGCGCUAUUGGAGCGGCCGAUGUCGGAUUAGCUAGUUGGUGGGGUAAAGGCUUACCAAGGCGACGAUCCGUAGCUGGUCUGAGAGGACGACCAGCCACACUGGGACUGAGACACGGCCCAGACUCCUACGGGAGGCAGCAGUGGGGAAUUUUGGACAAUGGGGGCAACCCUGAUCCAGCCAUGCCGCGUGCGGGAAGAAGGCCUUCGGGUUGUAAACCGCUUUUGUUCGGGAAGAAAUCCUCUGGGCUAAUACCCCGGGGGGAUGACGGUACCGGAAGAAUAAACACCGGCGAACUACGU
RNAcentral lists this ribosomal RNA (483 nucleotides) under uncultured bacterium. RNAcentral's name for it is "partial 16S ribosomal RNA". It matches the Rfam family "Bacterial small subunit ribosomal RNA", at positions 28 to 506 of the family's 1533-position model. The record is from RNAcentral.